CUUGAGUUAUAAACAUAAGAGGUCCAGCCUGCCCAGUGAUUAAAUUUAACGGCCGCGGUAUCCUAACCGUGCGAAGGUAGCGUAAUCACUUGUUCUUUAAAUGAGGACUAGUAUGAAUGGCACCACGAAGGUUUUACUGUCUCCUUUUCCUAAUCAGUGAAACUAAUCUUCCCGUGAAGAAGCGGGAAUAAACGAAUAAGACGAGAAGACCCUAUGGAGCUUUAAACACAAUAACAGAUACUACUUUAAACAAAAAUUUCUUAAUGACUUACUCCCUGGUAUUAUGAUUAUUAGUUUUAGGUUGGGGUGACCGCGGAGAAAAACACAACCUCCACAUUGAAUGAUAAAAUUCUAAGCAAAGAAUUACAUUUCCACGCAUCAAUACAUUGACAUCAAUUGACCCAAUUAUUUUGAUCAACGAAC
This 423-nucleotide ribosomal RNA is filed under the name Atelopus flavescens group sp. ABGD cluster 1. Its description in RNAcentral is "partial large subunit ribosomal RNA". It matches the Rfam family "Bacterial large subunit ribosomal RNA", at positions 1822 to 2457 of the family's 2925-position model. Lineage: Eukaryota; Metazoa; Chordata; Amphibia; Anura; Bufonidae. The record is from RNAcentral.